CACCAAUUUAUUAUCUUUUUAAAAAAAAAUUAUUUUAUUUUAUUAUAUUUUAAAAACAAAUGCAAUUACCAUAUCUGUACCGGUACUAAGACACCUGUAUCCGACUAGUUUCAAACUAAAGUUGAUGUAUACUAGUGUGUCAUUUCUGAGUAGAAUAAAAUAUACACGUCAAAAAAGAUGGGGGGACAAAAAUUUAAAACAAGGGUUACGCUCCAGUGGUAAACAAUCACAAAAAUGGAACUUUCUUUAUUUAACGGUAUUUCCACAGAUAAUUUCCCGCAUACAAUUGCUCCGUCCCAAUUCUCAGCACUACACAAGGUUCAUUUUCUUGCGCAUAGAACAUAUCUCUCUAGAGCAUGGCUCAUUAGAGGACAACAGACACCC
Vicia faba (fava bean) is the source of this 384-nucleotide non-coding RNA. NCBI's taxonomy places the organism in Eukaryota, Viridiplantae, Streptophyta, Magnoliopsida, Fabales, Fabaceae. The record is from the annotation of a GenBank genome assembly.